GACGAACGCUGGCGGCGUGCUUAACACAUGCAAGUCGAACGGAAAGGCCCUGCUUUUGUGGGGUGCUCGAGUGGCGAACGGGUGAGUAACACGUGAGUAACCUGCCCUUGACUUUGGGAUAACUUCAGGAAACUGGGGCUAAUACCGGAUAGGAGCUCCUGCUGCAUGGUGGGGGUUGGAAAGUUUCGGCGGUUGGGGAUGGACUCGCGGCUUAUCAGCUUGUUGGGGGGGUAGUGGCUUACAAAGGCUUUGACGGGUAGCCGGCCUGAGAGGGUGACCGGCGACAUUGGGACUGAGAGACGGCCCAGAAGCCUACGGGAGGCAGCAGUGGGGAAUAUUGCACAAUGGGCGGAAGCCUGAUGCAGCAACGCCGCGUGCGGGAUGACGGCCUUCGGGUUGUAAACCGCUUUGGCCUGUGACGAAGCGUGAUUGACGGUAAUGGGUAAAGAAGCACCGGCUAACUACGUG
RNAcentral lists this ribosomal RNA (468 nucleotides) under uncultured bacterium. RNAcentral describes it as "partial 16S ribosomal RNA". It matches the Rfam family "Bacterial small subunit ribosomal RNA", at positions 28 to 507 of the family's 1533-position model. The record is from RNAcentral.